GUUGUCCUGAAAAAUUGAGUCUCC
RNAcentral lists this non-coding RNA (24 nucleotides) under Arabidopsis thaliana (thale cress). The record is from RNAcentral. Lineage: Eukaryota; Viridiplantae; Streptophyta; Magnoliopsida; Brassicales; Brassicaceae.